Molecule: ribosomal RNA, 433 nt
Filed under: uncultured bacterium
Lineage: Bacteria
Description: partial 16S ribosomal RNA
Rfam family: Bacterial small subunit ribosomal RNA
Source: RNAcentral
AGCGAACGCUGGCGGCAGGCCUAACACAUGCAAGUCGAACGAACUCUUCGGAGUUAGUGGCGGACGGGUGAGUAACACGUGGGAACGUGCCUUUUGGUUCGGAAUAACUCAGGGAAACUUGUGCUAAUACCGAAUGUGCCCUUCGGGGGAAAGAUUUAUCGCCAUUAGAGCGGCCCGCGUCUGAUUAGCUAGUUGGUGAGGUAACGGCUCACCAAGGCGACGACCAGUAGCUGGUCUGAGAGGAUGACCAGCCACACUGGGACUGAGACACGGACCAGACUCCUACGGGAGGCAGCAGUGGGGAAUCUUGCGCAAUGGGCGAAAGCCUGACGCAGCCAUGCCGCGUGAAUGAUGAAGGUCUUAGGAUUGUAAAAUUCUUUCACCGGGGACGAUAAUGACGGUACCCGGAGAAGAAGCCCCGGCUAACUUCGUG